UAAAAAAAUAUGCACCCCUAUGUUUAUUGCAGCACUAUUUACAAUAGCCAAGAUAUGAAAACAGCCCAAGUGUUCAUUGAUAGAUGACUGGCUAAACCAUCGUCAUCAUAUAUGUAUAUAUGUAUGUUUUGGUAACCAACUGCCUGACUGUACUGUGCAUGGAGACAUCACAUGGACAAAGAGAAAUUUUGGAGGUUAAGAACUGCUAGAGAAGAAAGGGAAGUCCAUCAUAGCUAAGCAUCUCACCUACCCUGCUGAGACACCACCAUAUUAGAAGAUAAUAAAGCCCAGCUGAAGUAUCAAGCCAGCUCCUGGGUGUCAGGUACUGCUUUUCUCUUUCUCAAUAAUACAGUUUUAAAAGAGUAAAUUUAUGUUUAUUUUUAUUGCAAGAAAUGGUGUGAUUAAUGUUGUAGAUGAAACACCAGCAUGCUCAGAAGUAAAUCAGACUUUAUCUGAAGGAUAUAGAGAGAAGGGGAUUUGGGAUGUGGUAAACAGAAGCAUUUAUUAAAAGAAAAACUCACAAAUAAUAGUUUAUUUUAAUGCUGUUACUGCAUUUUUCUUUGCUUUUGUUUAGCACUGGAUAAAUAUCCAAGAUUAAUUAUGAUUCUCAGGUUUUUAUAAAAUAAUUCUACGUUCAUGAAACAUUUUCCUAGCCCCUUCAAUAUGUAGAAACUCAUAUGAACUCAUUCAAUAUGUAGAAACAACCAGUAAUUGAUUUAACAGCUCAAAUUUCCACUUUUGCUUUAGUGGUAUCUUAUACACUAAGCCAUCGAAAACUAAGUUCCUUCCUAAAUACUUGUUAUGAUACUUGAAAUUAAAUCUGGUAUUUUAUUUGUGUAGCAUGGGUUAUUAUCCCAACAUUUGGAAUGAGAAAACUAAGGCAGAAAACUGUUACAUAUUUUGCCUUAAGACCCAAUGAUUCAACAACAACCUAUUAUUGAUUUGUUUCAUACGUGCAGGCCCAUUUAUGAGUUUCAGUUAUUAAAAGAAAAAGAUUUCAAAAAUAUCACUAAUUUUAUAAUGAAAACUAGUUCAAUUAGCGCAAUAGAAAAAUAAUUCUGUGCC
Molecule: long non-coding RNA, 1065 nt
Organism: Felis catus (domestic cat)
Lineage: Eukaryota; Metazoa; Chordata; Mammalia; Carnivora; Felidae
Exons: 3
Source: RefSeq, a predicted model, not a curated record